Molecule: ribosomal RNA, 909 nt
Filed under: Escherichia coli
Lineage: Bacteria; Pseudomonadati; Pseudomonadota; Gammaproteobacteria; Enterobacterales; Enterobacteriaceae
Description: partial 23S ribosomal RNA
Rfam family: Bacterial large subunit ribosomal RNA
Source: RNAcentral
AGGCUGUCUCCACCCGAGACUCAGUGAAAUUGAACUCGCUGUGAAGAUGCAGUGUACCCGCGGCAAGACGGAAAGACCCCGUGAACCUUUACUAUAGCUUGACACUGAACAUUGAGCCUUGAUGUGUAGGAUAGGUGGGAGGCUUUGAAGUGUGGACGCCAGUCUGCAUGGAGCCGACCUUGAAAUACCACCCUUUAAUGUUUGAUGUUCUAACGUUGACCCGUAAUCCGGGUUGCGGACAGUGUCUGGUGGGUAGUUUGACUGGGGCGGUCUCCUCCUAAAGAGUAACGGAGGAGCACGAAGGUUGGCUAAUCCUGGUCGGACAUCAGGAGGUUAGUGCAAUGGCAUAAGCCAGCUUGACUGCGAGCGUGACGGCGCGAGCAGGUGCGAAAGCAGGUCAUAGUGAUCCGGUGGUUCUGAAUGGAAGGGCCAUCGCUCAACGGAUAAAAGGUACUCCGGGGAUAACAGGCUGAUACCGCCCAAGAGUUCAUAUCGACGGCGGUGUUUGGCACCUCGAUGUCGGCUCAUCACAUCCUGGGGCUGAAGUAGGUCCCAAGGGUAUGGCUGUUCGCCAUUUAAAGUGGUACGCGAGCUGGGUUUAGAACGUCGUGAGACAGUUCGGUCCCUAUCUGCCGUGGGCGCUGGAGAACUGAGGGGGGCUGCUCCUAGUACGAGAGGACCGGAGUGGACGCAUCACUGGUGUUCGGGUUGUCAUGCCAAUGGCACUGCCCGGUAGCUAAAUGCGGAAGAGAUAAGUGCUGAAAGCAUCUAAGCACGAAACUUGCCCCGAGAUGAGUUCUCCCUGACUCCUUGAGAGUCCUGAAGGAACGUUGAAGACGACGACGUUGAUAGGCCGGGUGUGUAAGCGCAGCGAUGCGUUGAGCUAACCGGUACUAAUGAACCGUGAGG